This 589-nucleotide ribosomal RNA is filed under the name uncultured archaeon. RNAcentral's name for it is "bacterial SSU rRNA". It matches the Rfam family "Archaeal small subunit ribosomal RNA", at positions 96 to 685 of the family's 1478-position model. The record is from RNAcentral.
ACACGUGGACAACCUACCCUUGGGUUCGGCAUAAUCCUGGGAAACUGGGGAUAAUACCGGAUAGGUCACAGAUGCUGGAAUGCACUGUGGCUCAAAGCUCCGGCGCCCAAGGAUGGGUCUGCGGCCUAUCAGGGUUGUAGUGGGUGUAAUGUACCUACUAGCCUACGACGGGUACGGGUUGUGAGAGCAAGAGCCCGGAGAUGGAUUCUGAGACACGAAUCCAGGCCCUACGGGGUGCAGCAGGCGCGAAAACUUUACAAUGCGGGAAACCGUGAUAAGGGAAUCUCGAGUGCCAGCAUAUAAUGUUGGCUGUCCAGAUGCCUAAAAAGCAUCUGUUAGCAAGGGCCGGGCAAGACCGGUGCCAGCCGCCGCGGUAACACCGGCGGCCCGAGUGGUAACCGCUAUUAUUGGGUCUAAAGGGUCUGUAGCCGGCCAGGUAAGUCCCUUGGGAAAUCUGGCAGCUCAACUGUCAGGCUGCUAGGGGAUACUGUUUGGCUUGGGACCGGGAGAGGUGAGAGGUACCUUGGGGGUAGGGGUGAAAUCUUGUGAUCCUCGGGGGACCACCAGUGGCGAAGGCGUCUCACCAGAA